GGCAUUGUGAAGCAGAGGUGAAGAGUACGUAAAGAAGGCAUUUUAGGACACCACAUCGUUUGAGGACAAGAACCAGGCUGAAAUAAUGACCCUGCUAGCCAGUGAGUGCGAUGAAUGGGGACAGAUAUACCCAUUACUCAGCCGAUUGGCAGCAAUUGCACUUGUCAUUCCGGUGUCAAGUGUCAACUGUGAGAGAGACUUCUCCACAAUGAACAGGGUCAAAUCAGAGCUUCGCAACAGGCUGCAAGGAGAGCACCUGGCUGCCUGCCUGAGGGUCUCCAUCAAUGGGCCGUGUCCAGAGAAAUUUGACUACCAAAGGGCAUUAGAAGUGUUUUUUUCAAAACCCAGCAAAAUUCAAUGUCCAAAUUCAGGGUGCAAAGUUUGCAAAUAGGAGUGUUGUAUAAAUGUGUAUUUUGGAUGUUUUCUUUCAACUAGUCUGAAAGAAGACAAGUUAUGGAAGCAAAAGAGGCCAAAAUGUUUUUGCCUGCCAAAAUGUUGAUGCACCCUCCGAAUCCAUUUUAUUUUUUAUUACAAUUUAGCUUACAGUUUAAUUAUUUAUUAUUUUAUCUGGUAAAGGUAAACACUUUUGCUUUAUUUCUUUGAUGGCUCAGAUGUAUGCGAUAUUUGAUUUUGUGUUUUCACUAUUAGUAUCUAUAUAACCAAUGUGUUUGUGAUUAAAUUGUGUACAAGAGCACACAGUUCCUCAUAGAUCUAGCCUCUUAAUUUUGCUUUCAAAGUGCACCAGAUUGAUGCAUUCAACUUUAAAAUGGUAGAAAAAAAUCUUCCGGGGGAGCAUGCCCCCGGACCCCCCUAGAGGGUCCAACAUUCACCCACCAUAGUCUCAUUAAAUCCUGUGGGAAACACUGCAAAGUUCAACCUGGCCCACGCUUUGCUCGGUGCAGCAAAAUGCUGUCGUGUGUUUCAGAGCGCAAUGGGGCCAUUGUCCAGUUGUGUCUGAAUAGGCCUCAACGGUUGCGAAUACCGUAAUCUGUUUGGCUGUUGAUUUGCC
Molecule: long non-coding RNA, 1009 nt
Organism: Acanthopagrus latus (yellowfin seabream)
Lineage: Eukaryota; Metazoa; Chordata; Actinopteri; Spariformes; Sparidae
Exons: 3
Source: RefSeq, a predicted model, not a curated record